Molecule: long non-coding RNA, 1964 nt
Organism: Anolis carolinensis (green anole)
Lineage: Eukaryota; Metazoa; Chordata; Lepidosauria; Squamata; Anolidae
Source: Ensembl
UUCAGGUAAGGAUACUACUUUUUCCCCUUCCCUCUCUUUUGGGUCAAAAUCCCGCCCUCCUCCCAGAUUCCCCUCCUUCCUUCCCUUUUUAUAGGGCCAUCCAGGUGCAGCAUUGGAUGCUGCUUCAUUCCGGGAGAGACACGUGUUGAGGGCACUCGUGGGAAAGGGAACUUCGCCUGCAAAUAACUUCUACAGGCCGGGAGAGGGUCCCUGCGCCCCGAAUGGAGGGCCCGGAUUCGUUGCCGGAGGACGAGGACGAGGGGGCCCCUGAGUGUGGGGAGGGGGCCCCCGGGGGGCGGUGGGCACGGCAGCAGCGGCUCUUCCGGGAGUUCUGCCAGGGGGCGGCCCAGGGGCCCCGCGAGACCUGCCUGCGCAUCCGGGCCCUGUGCCAGGAGUGGCUGCAGCCCGAGAGGCGCUCCCGCAGGCGCAUGCUGGACCUGGUGGUGCUGGAGCAGUUCCUCAAGGCCCUGCCGCCCGAAGUCGAGCAGCGCAUACGCAGCCUCGGGCCCCGCACCAGCACCCAGGCCGCCGCCCUGGCCGAGAGGCUCCUCCGCCGCAGGAAGAUGCGAGGAAAAACAGACGAACCCGAGGAUGAGGACACACCACCGGCCAACUCAAGUGAUGCACCCGAUGACGAAGAGAUCCUUCAGGAAAGUGAAAGAGAUGCUGAAUCCCCAGGAAAUGAAGCAUCCAAUGGAGACACCCAAAGGGCACCUGAGGGUCCUCUGAGACCUCCACCAUCUUUGCCUAAUAUGAUGGAAUUGCCUAUAGGAUCCAAUGAGAUCCAACAAGAUUCAAGAGAGGUAAGAAGGCUGGAAAUGGCUCUCCCGCAAACCUUCCUUUGUCCCGAAGCAUAGAAUCCAUAGGAUUGGAAGGGGUCCCCCUAAGGUCCAUCCAAUCUGACCCCAUUCUGGCGUAAAAGAAGACACUUGAAACCAUCCAGACAGAUCCACCACCCAAAUAAAUUACCCAGGAGGUUAUUUCACUUGGAGGAUUCAUUGGUGGCCUCCCAUCCAAGCACCAACCAGGGCAGACCCUGCUUAGCUUCCUAUAUUUGGUGCCUUCUUGAGGGCAUUUCAUCCUCCCAGGAAAUCAAGGCACCAAGGGGGAUCCCCAUUAGGCUGUAUUUUAUUUGUUUGUUUAUUUACUACAUCUAUAUCCCGCCCUUCUCACCCCAAAGGGGACUCAGGGUGGCUUACAAAUAAUAUGCACCUACAAUAUAUUAUAUUAUUAGCAUAGCACAAUAUUAGCAUUAUGUAUUACUGUAUUGUACUAUACCACUAUACUGUAAUAUUAUUAGUAAUAUUACAUGUAAUAUAUACUUAAUAUUAUAUUAUUAAUAUUAAUAUAAUAUUAUUAUAUUAUUAUAAUUAUAUUAUUAGCACAGCACAACAUUAUCUAUUACUAUAUUGUAUUAUACCACUCUACUGUAAUAUUAUUAGUAAUAUUACAUAUAAUAUAUAUAGUUAUUAUAUUAUUAUAUUGUAUUAUUAUUAGUAUAUUGUAUUAUAUGAUAAUAUUAUCAAUAUUAUAUGUACAUACAAUAUAUUAUAUUAUUAGCAUAGCACAAUAUUAGCAUUAUGUAUUACUAUAUUGUACUAUACCACUAUACUGUAAUAUUACAUAUAAUAUAUAAUAUAUAGUUAUUGUAUUAUUAUAUUGUAUUAUUAUUAGUAUAUUGUAUUACAUUAUAAUAUCAAUAUUAUAUGUACAUACAAUAUAUUGUAUUAUUAGCAUAGCACAAUAUUAGCAUUAUGUAUUACUAUAUUGUACUAUACCACUAUACUGUAAUAUUACAUAUAAUAUAUAAUAUAUAGUUAUUGUAUUAUUAUAUUGUAUUAUUAUUAGUAUAUUGUAUUACAUUAUAAUAUCAAUAUUAUAUGUACAUACAAUAUAUUGUAUUAUUAGCAUAGCAUAAUAUAAGCAUUAUCUAUUACUCUAUUGUACUAUACCACUAUACUGUA